CCUACGGGAGGCAGCAGUGGGGGAUAUUGCACAAUGGGGGGAACCCUGAUGCAGCGACGCCGCGUGGGUGAAGGAGUGCUUCGGCAUGUAAAGCCCUAUCGGCAGGGAAGAAGCAAGACGGUACCUGACUAAGACGCCCCGGCUAACUACGUGCCAGCAGCCGCGGUAAUACGUAGGGGGCGAGCGUUAUCCGGAUUCACUGGGUGGAAAGGGAGCGUAGACGGCCAUGCAAGCCAGGGGUGAAAGCCCGGGGCCCAACCCCGGGACUGCCCUUGGAACUGCAUGGCUGGAGUGCGGGAGGGGCAGGCGGAAUUCCUGGUGUAGCGGUGAAAUGCGUAGAUAUCAGGAGGAACACCGGCGGCGAAGGCGGCCUGCUGGACCGCGACUGACGUUGAGGCUCGAAAGCGUGGGGAGCGAACAGGAUUAGAUACCCUAGUAGUC
RNAcentral lists this ribosomal RNA (441 nucleotides) under uncultured bacterium. RNAcentral describes it as "partial 16S ribosomal RNA". It matches the Rfam family "Bacterial small subunit ribosomal RNA", at positions 338 to 795 of the family's 1533-position model. The record is from RNAcentral.